UUUCCCUCAGCUAUUCCAUGGCUUUUCGUGUGGACAAAUCGGGAGGUGGUGUAAACUGGUUUUUGGUGAAAUUCGGCUCGGCCUCAUGCGAACCUAUCUAGGUCCGUCUCUGGAGUGGCCUGUCAUCGAUCGCGCCCUCCAUCGCUGAGCGACACAAGUGGAACCCCCCAGGACUGCAUUCUGCGAAACUACCCUGCUUUUCCCCCAGUUUUGGUCUGUGAACACAUUUGGGAAAUUCUUCUGAUCCUACCGCUACUCUCUUGAGGUACAGUAAAUUGUCUUUGACUUCCAUCACCUUUUGUAAUAUUACAAUUGCCAUCUAUUGAGUUCCUAUGAUCAGCCUGGCAUUGUACUAAGUGCUUUAUAUUUUCUUGUUCAUUUUUUUAUGCCAACAUAAAUGAGUUUGACUCAAUUCUUAUUAUAACCUGCCAAAAUAAGUAUUCCUCUUCCUUUUUACAGAGAGAGAAACAAGGGGAAAAAAAGUUAAUUGCCUGAGGAUACACUGCUAGUGUUGCGG
RNAcentral lists this long non-coding RNA (517 nucleotides) under Pan troglodytes (chimpanzee). RNAcentral's name for it is "long non-coding RNA NONPTRT003169". The record is from RNAcentral. Lineage: Eukaryota; Metazoa; Chordata; Mammalia; Primates; Hominidae.